This 497-nucleotide ribosomal RNA is filed under the name uncultured bacterium. RNAcentral describes it as "partial 16S ribosomal RNA". It matches the Rfam family "Bacterial small subunit ribosomal RNA", at positions 28 to 507 of the family's 1533-position model. The record is from RNAcentral.
GAUGAACGCUGGCGGCGUGCCUAAUACAUGCAAGUCGAGCGAACAGACGAGGAGCUUGCUCCUUUGACGUUAGCGGCGGACGGGUGAGUAACACGUAGGUAACCUACCUAUAAGACUGGGAUAACUUCGGGAAACCGGAGCUAAUACCGGAUAAUAUUUCGAUCCGCAUGGUUCGAUAGUGAAAGAUGGCUUUGCUAUCACUUAUAGAUGGACCUGCGCCGUAUUAGCUAGUUGGUAAGGUAACGGCUUACCAAGGCAACGAUACGUAGCCGACCUGAGAGGGUGAUCGGCCACACUGGAACUGAGACACGGUCCAGACUCCUACGGGAGGCAGCAGUAGGGAAUCUUCCGCAAUGGGCGAAAGCCUGACGGAGCAACGCCGCGUGAGUGAUGAAGGUCUUCGGAUCGUAAAACUCUGUUAUUAGGGAAGAACAAACGUGUAAGUAACUGUGCACGUCUUGACGGUACCUAAUCAGAAAGCCACGGCUAACUACGUG